UCCAGACUCCUACGGGAGGCAGCAGUGGGGGAUAUUGCACAAUGGGGGGAACCCUGAUGCAGCGACGCCGCGUGGGUGAAGGAGCGUUUCGGCGCGUAAAGCCCUCUCGGCAGGGAAGAAGGAGGACGGUACCUGACUAAGAAGCCCCGGCUAACUACGUGCCAGCAGCCGCGGUAAUACGUAGGGGGCAAGCGUUAUCCGGAUUUACUGGGUGUAAAGGGGGCGCAGACGGCAGCGCAAGCCAGGAGUGAAAGCCCGGGGCCCAACCCCGGGACUGCUCUUGGAACUGCGCGGCUGGAGUGCAGGAGGGGCAGGCGGAAUUCCUGGUGUAGCGGUGAAAUGCGUAGAUAUUAGGAGGAACACCGGCGGCGAAGGCGGCCUGCUGGACCGUAACUGACGUUGAGGCUCGAAAGCGUGGGGAGCAAACAGGAUUAGAUACCCGUGUAA
RNAcentral lists this ribosomal RNA (447 nucleotides) under uncultured bacterium. RNAcentral describes it as "partial 16S ribosomal RNA". It matches the Rfam family "Bacterial small subunit ribosomal RNA", at positions 330 to 793 of the family's 1533-position model. The record is from RNAcentral.